AUGGGAACGCGAAGAACCUUACCUAGACUUGACAUCUCCUGAAUAGUGUAGAGAUACAUGAAGCCCUUCGGGGCAGGAAGACAGGUGGUGCAUGGUUGUCGUCAGCUCGUGUCGUGAGAUGUUGGGUUAAGUCCCGCAACGAGCGCAACCCUUAUUACUAGUUGCUACCAUUAAGUUGAGCACUCUAGCGAGACUGCCCGGGUUAACCGGGAGGAAGGUGGGGAUGACGUCAAAUCAUCAUGCCCCUUAUGUCUAGGGCUACACACGUGCUACAAUGGCCGGUACAAAGAGACGCAAUACCGCGAGGUGGAGCCAAACUAUAAAACCGGUCUCAGUUCGGAUUGUAGGCUGAAACUCGCCUACAUGAAGCUGGAGUUGCUAGUAAUCGCGAAUCAGAAUGUCGCGGUGAAUACGUUCCCGGGUCUUGUACACAC
Molecule: ribosomal RNA, 434 nt
Filed under: uncultured bacterium
Lineage: Bacteria
Description: bacterial SSU rRNA
Rfam family: Bacterial small subunit ribosomal RNA
Source: RNAcentral